AAGACACUAGUAAAACGUUAUUACACUGCCUUGUCAAGGCAGAUGUGUGGGUUCAAGCCCCGCGUGUCUUG
This 71-nucleotide transfer RNA is filed under the name Cheilodactylus zonatus (blackbarred morwong). RNAcentral describes it as "tRNA-Asp". It matches the Rfam family "tRNA". Rfam says of the family: Transfer RNA (tRNA) molecules are approximately 80 nucleotides in length. Their secondary structure includes four short double-helical elements and three loops (D, anti-codon, and T loops). The record is from RNAcentral. Lineage: Eukaryota; Metazoa; Chordata; Actinopteri; Centrarchiformes; Cheilodactylidae.